AUUGAACGCUGGCGGCAUGCUUUACACAUGCAAGUCGAACGGCAGCGCGGGCUUCGGCCUGGCGGCGAGUGGCGAACGGGUGAGUAAUACAUCGGAACGUGCCCAGUAGUGGGGGAUUGCUCGGCGAAAGCCGGAUUAAUACCGCAUACGACCUGAGGGUGAAAGCGGGGGAUCUUCGGACCUCGCGCUAUUGUAGCGGCCGAUGGCAGAUUAGCUAGUUGGUGGGGUAAAGGCCUACCAAGGCGACGAUCUGUAGCUGGUCUGAGAGGACGACCAGCCACACUGGGACUGAGACACGGCCCAGACUCCUACGGGAGGCAGCAGUGGGGAAUUUUGGACAAUGGGCGAAAGCCUGAUCCAGCAAUGCCGCGUGUGUGAUGAAGGCCUUCGGGUUGUAAAGCACUUUUGGCGGGAACGAAAAGGACUGUGCCAAUACCACGGUUCGAUGACGGUACCCGCAGAAUAAGCACCGGCUAACUACGUG
This 484-nucleotide ribosomal RNA is filed under the name uncultured bacterium. Its description in RNAcentral is "partial 16S ribosomal RNA". It matches the Rfam family "Bacterial small subunit ribosomal RNA", at positions 30 to 507 of the family's 1533-position model. The record is from RNAcentral.